GAUAACAAUGACAUAUUUAGUAAUGUGAUUUGGGAACAAAUUAACAAAAAUAUGUUACAUGAGAAUAAUAAUGUAAUUUAAAAUAUAUAUGGAUCAACACAGCAGUAAUAGUGAUGUGUGAAAGGUAACAUUUUAUAGAUUUAGUAUUUUUGACCGGUAUUAAUGUGCUUCUAUGGCAAAGGUUUUAUAUUUUUCUGAAUUACUUGAUUGCAACCACAGGGUAAGCUAUGCAGCAUGAUAUUUAAAAU
Molecule: non-coding RNA, 248 nt
Organism: Pelobates cultripes (western spadefoot toad)
Lineage: Eukaryota; Metazoa; Chordata; Amphibia; Anura; Pelobatidae
Source: the annotation of a GenBank genome assembly